Molecule: long non-coding RNA, 2235 nt
Organism: Clupea harengus (Atlantic herring)
Lineage: Eukaryota; Metazoa; Chordata; Actinopteri; Clupeiformes; Clupeidae
Source: Ensembl
AAUGUCUUUAUCAGUUUCAAAUGUGUAACAAAUUGUGUGUCAUUUGUCUGUAGAUUCAAUCAUGACGUCACCUAAGAAAAUUUAAAUCGAGGGUAGAAGAAGGGUAUAUUCACCAGGUUUCUGAGAUGAAACAAGGAACGCACAAGAAAUACUUCACUGCUGUACUUCAGGAAGCCACCAAAAAUACAAAAAUGGUCGUCUUUACCCCACAGAAACACAAUUGGUUUGUGUGUGCUGAAAAAGAUAGGCAAGUACUUUAGUAUUGUUAAAUACAAUGCUGACUAAAUCACGCCAAAAUCAAGGAGAGGAUGAUAUUUUGAUCAAUGAGCGAUCCCAACUGACAUGUGUGCGAAACUUGGGCUUCUGUUUCGAUGAGUUGUAGUGAUGGGACCUGCAUAGGCUCAGUACUGGUAGCGAGAGGAAACAGAAAUGAUUAGUUCAUUUUCUGACUCGGUUUUCGGAUACGGAUCUUUGGAUAAUUUUCCACGUGACCUGCAUUCAACGAAUAAUUUCUGUUUCCUUGGCUGAGCCUAUGCAAGUCCCAAUGGCCACGAGAAAUUGAACUAAUCUUUUUUUGAGAGGACUCGUUACUCUCGAGUCCUUGUAAGGAUUCGUUCAAAAUGAACGAAUCGUUCACGAACGACACAUCACUAAUGAGUUGGCUCCAAAUGAGCAGCAGACCAGAUCAAUAACCGACAUCCUUUCUGAUCCCAGGGAGCAUCAAAUGGUAAAUGUGCUGGUAAAAGUCAUGGAGCAGAGAGAAAAGGACCAAAUGAUGACAAGGACCCACAAAGUGAUGUACCAGACAGUGUAUGCUGUGUCUGACAAGACUGCGUCCAUCAUGCUGACUGUGUGGGGAAAUGAUGUGCUGCUUAUAGACAGGUGGUACACUUUUACAGAUGUGUCUGUGUGUUUUUUCAACAGCAAAGUCCUGCUGACAACCACACCACAAACCACUUUCCACAUUGCUGAAGAUGCAGGGGCAGCAUCAGCAGCAGUACAAAAUGAUGCAAAACAUACUGUUGGCGAAAUUCUACGGGUGGAUGUGACUUUCACUUGUGUCCACAGCGCCAUGCGCUUCUUAAGGGCGCUUAUAUGGUACUCCGUACUACACGUUUACGGACACAUGGGAACGCCUACACAUAGAUGGAACGCCCUGGAACGCCCUCUCUGUCGUCUCCGGGGCCCUCAGAGAGCUCUCCCGCGCACCGUUGAAAUUCCUGUUGAUCUGUCAUGACAUGCUGUACAGCGACGGAUACCCCUUGGCUGUGAUUGGUCCGCUACGACAUCAUUUCCAAACAUCAUUUCCGGAAUCUCACAUUUCUGGACCUCGCGUUUCCUGUUUCAUUCCCUAUAUAUCACAACACCGCCAUGUUUAAAAUCCACAAAAAAACUUAUGGAGAUCACGAACACCGAAGAGCGCAUUGCGGAAGAGGUACGGAAAUAUCCUCACCUCUAACACAUCGCUAAAAGAUUAUAAAGAUGCGCGAAUGACUGCCAAUUCGUGGUGAGCGAUAUCUGCAGCGGUAGAGCUGGACACUAAAGACUGCGUAACGCGAUGGAGAAGGUUGCGGGACAAGUUCGUGAGGGCCAAGAGGACUUUUAAAAGCAGAAGUGGCGAUGCAGGAGGGCAGAAGAUGCCUGCCAUCCUAACGUUUCUGUCGUGGUUGGACCCAUUCGUCAAACAUCGGGAGACGUCCUCUAAUUACGACAAUAAGCAGACAGAGCCAUUAUGCCACCUCAGCACCUGAGGCCUCCCCCGACAUCCUCACCAGCACCUGAGGCUUCCGUUGAGCCAACCUGCUACCCACCACCCAGGUUUCUGACUCCAUGCACCCCUCCACCCUCCAGGAUUCCGCCCUCUCCAUCCACCCCUCAAGCCUCCAGACCCAUGGUACCGCUAUCCCCGCUUACACCAAAGAGAAGACGGGCGGCGCAAGAUCAGAGUGUCAUUGAGGCAAUGGCAAGGGUCGAGGAGCGCAGGGUCCAAAUGUACAGGGACUUUGAGCCCGUUGAACCUUCUCCACCACCACCACAGUUUGAAAACACUUGUUUUGGCAAUAGUGUAGGUGUCUUGGCAAAGACACUACACAAAGACACGCAAAGGGAGAUAAAACUUCAGAUUUACGCCCUGCUGUAUAACAACCAGGCUGACCAUCCGCGUUUUGUAAAUACGUACCACCAUCUAUAAAUAGUUUUACAUUACUUAUACAGUGUUAACAUUUCUUAUUUUGC